GACGAACGCUGGCGGCGUGCUUAACACAUGCAAGUCGAGCGGUAAAGGCCCUUUCGGGGGUACGACGAGCGGCGAACGGGUGAGUAACACGUGGGUGACCUGCCCUCCAGCUCUGGGAUAAAGCCUGGGAAACCGGGGUCUAAUACCGGAUAUGACUCCAUGACGCAUGUUGUGGGGUGGAAAGCCUUGUGCGGCUGAGGAUGGGCCCGCGGCCUAUCAGCUUGUU
Molecule: ribosomal RNA, 226 nt
Filed under: uncultured bacterium
Lineage: Bacteria
Description: partial 16S ribosomal RNA
Rfam family: Bacterial small subunit ribosomal RNA
Source: RNAcentral